AGCAGCCGCGGUAAUUCCAGCUCCAAUAGCGUAUAUUAAAGUUGUUGCAGUUAAAAAGCUCGUAGUUGAAUUUCGGGACCAUCAUGUCGGUCGUGCCUCGGUACGUACUGGCAUUGUUGGUUUCUCCCUUCUGACGAACCAUGAUGUCAUUUAUUUGGUGUGUGUGGGAAAUCAGGACUGUUACUUUGAAAAAAUUAGAGUGUUUAAAGCAGGCUCACGCUUGAAUACAUUAGCAUGGAAUAAUGAAAUAGGACGUUUGAUUCUAUUUUGUUGGUUUCUAGGAUCGACGUAAUGAUUAAUAGGGAUAGUUGGGGGCAUUAGUAUUCAAUUGUCAGAGGUGAAAUUCUUGGAUUUAUUGAAGACUAACUACUGCGAAAGCAUUUGCCAAGGAUGUUUUCAUUAAUCAAGAACGAAAGUUAGGGGAUCGAAGACGAUCAGAUACCGUCGUAGUCUUAACCAUAAACUAUGCCGACUAGGGAUCGGAUGAUGUUAAUUUUUUAAUGACUCA
This 508-nucleotide ribosomal RNA is filed under the name uncultured Glomus. RNAcentral's name for it is "SSU rRNA". It matches the Rfam family "Eukaryotic small subunit ribosomal RNA", at positions 569 to 1078 of the family's 1831-position model. Lineage: Eukaryota; Fungi; Glomeromycota; Glomeromycetes; Glomerales; Glomeraceae. The record is from RNAcentral.